Arabidopsis thaliana (thale cress) is the source of this 390-nucleotide long non-coding RNA. RefSeq annotates it as other RNA. NCBI's taxonomy places the organism in Eukaryota, Viridiplantae, Streptophyta, Magnoliopsida, Brassicales, Brassicaceae. The transcript has a single exon. The record is from RefSeq.
CUCGGACAAAUCUCCCUCUUCGGUUUCCACGAACCAAAUCCCAACAACUCACAAGCCAUACCCUUCAAGCUAACCCUUGACCUCUCACCAUAACUAAAUGGAAAAUUUACCUUUACCAGAUCACGAACGUCAACUUUCUUAACCACUACUCUAACUAGCCCACCGAGCUUAGCGACAGUUUUAGCAAUACCUAUUCCUACAAAAACAAACCUCUCAUCACGAAAUAGAUCACUAAGGCAUUCGCCGAGAUUGGUAUUUUGUUUCAUAUGAAGUAGUUGGAGUAUGAGGCAUUUGGUUUUGAUGCAUAGUUGAAGAGUCGAGAUUUUUGCAUCAUCUUGAGGAUUGGUCUUGGAGUUUAGAGAGAUGAUCACCGUUGGUUCAUCUCGGUAG